RNAcentral lists this ribosomal RNA (432 nucleotides) under uncultured bacterium. Its description in RNAcentral is "partial 16S rRNA". The record is from RNAcentral.
GCACGAAGUUAGCCGGGGCUUCUUCUGCGGGUACCGUCAUCAUCGUCCCCGCCGAAAGAGCUUUACAACCCUAAGGGCUUCAUCACUCACGCGGCAUUGCUGGAUCAGGGUUGCCCCCAUUGUCCAAUACUCCCCACUGCUGCCUCCCGUAGGAGUCUGGGCCGUGUCUCAGUCCCAGUGUGGGUGAUCAUCCUCUCACACCACCUACGGAUCGUCGCCUUGGUGGGCCGUUACCCCGCCAACUAGCUAAUCCGACGCGGGCCCCUCAAAGGGCGAUGAAUCUUUCUCCCAUAGGACGUAUGCGGUAUUAGCCGGCGUUUCCACCGGUUAUCCCACACCCCUCGGCAGGUUCCCACGCGUUACUCACCCGUGCGCCACUCCCCUUGCGGAGCGUUCGACUUGCAUGUGUUAGGCAUGCCGCCAGCGUUCGUU